RNAcentral lists this unclassified non-coding RNA (225 nucleotides) under plant metagenome. RNAcentral's name for it is "partial contains small subunit ribosomal RNA, internal transcribed spacer 1, and 5.8S ribosomal RNA". The record is from RNAcentral.
UCUCCGUUUGUGAACCAGCGGAGGGAUCAUUACAGGACUCGCAAGACUCCUACAACCCUGUGAACUUAACUAUAAGCACGUUGCUUCGGCGGGUGUCUCGGAGGGGGUUCUCCCUCCCCGAGACGCUAAACCCGCCGGCAGCCUACUAUACUCUGUCUCUUUGCGUUGACAUCUCGAGUACAAUCAAACAAGUUAAAACUUUCAACAACGGAUCUCUUGGUUCUG